Molecule: transfer RNA, 74 nt
Filed under: Piridium sociabile
Lineage: Eukaryota; Vitrellaceae
Description: tRNA-His
Rfam family: tRNA
About the family: Transfer RNA (tRNA) molecules are approximately 80 nucleotides in length. Their secondary structure includes four short double-helical elements and three loops (D, anti-codon, and T loops).
Source: RNAcentral
GGUGUAUAAAGCUAAAUGGUUAAAGCAUUGGUUUGUGGAACUGAGAAUGGCGGGUUCGAUUCCCGUUAUACACC